AUAAAUAAGCGGAGGAAAAGAAACCAAACGGGAUUCCCUUAGUAACGGCGAGCGAAAAGGGAAAAGUCCAGCACCAAGUCUUGACAUSUAUGGUGUUCAAGAGAUGCGGUGUUAAUGUAUCGACCCAUCGUGCACUGUUCCACAUUUCAAGUUCCUACGACUGGGACUUCCAGAGCGGGUGUAAGACCCAUAGAGAUGAGGAACCAGUGUAUGCUGAGCGAUGCAUUCUAGAGUCAGGUUGCUUGAGAGUGCAGCUUAAAGUCGGUGGUAAACUCCAUCCAAGACUAAAUAUUACAGCGAGACCGAUAGCAAACAAGUACCGUGAGGGAAAGUUGCAAAGCACUUUGAAGAGAGAGUCCAAAAGUACGUGAAACCACUGGGAGGCAAACAGAUGGAACCACGAAGUGUGCGCCUCGGUCGAUUCAAUCAUCACCAUUUGUCAGUUGUUUGAGAUCAGGAUCUUUUCGGAGAUUGAUUUCCAGCAAYUAUGAUGRAUGGUGUUGGUGCAUUUCGUGCCGGGGAUGCUAAGCCACGUUCAACUAGAGUUGGGACGGCUGUAAGAAAGAAUCCGAGAAAGGUGCCCGUCACGUGCUUGCAUUUGACGGUGUUAUAGUCUUGGAUUGGCACCGUCACCUAACAUACUGGUUGAUGCAAAUUCUCCAUUUGGAGUUGAACCAUAUCUGCCUGUGACUGUUAGUCGAUGUUGAGUAAUGUUCUUUGCGUAUCUUUCGAUGCGAAAAGACUUUGCGAAGAUGUCGGCUAAUGGCUGCUUGCGUGAUAUGGUGGAACUGUGGCGCGAGUAGGUCGGUCUCCAUCUGACCCGUCUUGAAACACGGACCAAGGAGCCUAUCAUAUACGCGAGUCGCUCGGUCUUGUUUAGGCCUGGGAGGCGUAAUGAAAGUAAAGUUACUAGGCUUCGGCUGCAGUAACGGCUCGCCCACUUUGUUUAUUGGCAAUAUGGCGAAGCUGGAGCGUAUACGAUGGUACCCGAAAGAUGGUGAACUAUGCCUGGGCAAGACGAAGCCAGAGGAAACUCUGGUGGAGGUCUGUAGCGAUUCUGACGUGCAAAUCGAUCGUCAGACCUGGGUAUAGGGGCGAAAGACUAAUCGAACCAUCUAGUAGCUGGUUCCCUCCGAAGUUUCCCUCAGGAUAGCAGGCGUUUAUUKUKGUGCAGUCUCAUCCGGUAAAGCUAAUGAUUAGAGGUCUUGGGGUUGAAACGACCUCAACCUAUUCUCAAACUUUAAAUGGGUGAGAUGGUUGACUUUCUUGAUUGAAGCCAACCAUUUGGAUGCAAAUGCCUAGUGGGCCAUUUUUGGUAAGCAGAACYGGCGCUGUGGGAUGAACCAAACGUCGAGAUAAGGCAUCAAAUGCGUACGCUCAUCAGACCCCAUGAAAGGUGUUGGUUGCUAUAGACAGCAGGACGGUGGCCAUGGAAGUCGGAAUCCGCUAAGGAGUGUGUAACAACUCACCUGCCGAAGCAACUAGCCCUGAAAAUGGACGAUGCUGUAGCGUGGAGCCGAUACUCGACCGUUAURAUGAUUUAAAUUAMGAUAUYAUAACGAGUAGGAGGGCCGCAGUGUUAGCGUUGAAGGUGUCCGGCGUAAGCCGGCCUGGAGCUAUCAUUGUU
RNAcentral lists this ribosomal RNA (1627 nucleotides) under Proctophyllodes quadratus. RNAcentral describes it as "eukaryotic LSU rRNA". It matches the Rfam family "Eukaryotic large subunit ribosomal RNA", at positions 42 to 1443 of the family's 3401-position model. Lineage: Eukaryota; Metazoa; Arthropoda; Arachnida; Sarcoptiformes; Proctophyllodidae. The record is from RNAcentral.